CCUACGGGCGGCUGCAGUGGGGAAUAUUGCACAAUGGGCGCAAGCCUGAUGCAGCCAUGCCGCGUGUGUGAAGAAGGCCUUCGGGUUGUAAAGCACUUUCAGCGGGGAGGAAGGCGGUGAGGUUAAUAACCUCAUCGAUUGACGUUACCCGCAGAAGAAGCACCGGCUAACUCCGUGCCAGCAGCCGCGGUAAUACGGAGGGUGCAAGCGUUAAUCGGAAUUACUGGGCGUAAAGCGCACGCAGGCGGUCUGUCAAGUCGGAUGUGAAAUCCCCGGGCUCAACCUGGGAACUGCAUUCGAAACUGGCAGGCUAGAGUCUUGUAGAGGGGGGUAGGAUUCCAGGUGUAGCGGUGAAAUGCGUAGAGAUCUGGAGGAAUACCGGUGGCGAAGGCGGCCCCCUGGACAAAGACUGACGCUCAGGUGCGAAAGCGUGGGGAGCAAACAGGAUUAGAUACCCGUGUAGUC
This 465-nucleotide ribosomal RNA is filed under the name uncultured Klebsiella sp. Its description in RNAcentral is "bacterial SSU rRNA". It matches the Rfam family "Bacterial small subunit ribosomal RNA", at positions 338 to 795 of the family's 1533-position model. Lineage: Bacteria; Pseudomonadati; Pseudomonadota; Gammaproteobacteria; Enterobacterales; Enterobacteriaceae. The record is from RNAcentral.